This 564-nucleotide ribosomal RNA is filed under the name uncultured Glomeromycotina. RNAcentral describes it as "SSU rRNA". It matches the Rfam family "Eukaryotic small subunit ribosomal RNA", at positions 548 to 1114 of the family's 1831-position model. Lineage: Eukaryota; Fungi; Glomeromycota. The record is from RNAcentral.
UUGGAGGGCAAGUCUGGUGCCAGCAGCCGCGGUAAUUCCAGCUCCAAUAGCGUAUAUUAAAGUUGUUGCAGUUAAAAAGCUCGUAGUUGAAUUUCGGGAUCAAGGAAUCGGUCAUGCCUUGGUAUGUACUGGUUUUAUUGGUUCUCACCUUCUAAAGAACCAUAAUGUCAUUUAUUUGAUGUUAUGGGGAAUUAGGACUGUUACCUUGAAAAAAUUAGAGUGUUUAAAGCAAGCUUACGCUUGAAUACAUUAGCAUGGAAUAAUGAAAUAGGACAUCAGAUUCUAUUUUGUUGGUUUCUAGGAUCGAUGUAAUGAUUAAUAGGGAUAGUUGGGGGCAUUAGUAUUCAAUUGUCAGAGGUGAAAUUCUUGGAUUUAUUGAAGACUAACUACUGCGAAAGCAUUUGCCAAGGAUGUUUUCAUUAAUCAAGAACGAAAGUUAGGGGAUCGAAGACGAUCAGAUACCGUCGUAGUCUUAACCAUAAACUAUGCCGACUAGGGAUCGGAUGAUGUUAAUUUUAUAAUGACUCAUUCGGCACCUUACGGGAAACCAAAGUGUUUGGGUUC